UAACAUGAGUCAGCCCUGGCAACCCUGGACGGAAGACCCCGCGGGGGGCGCCGAGGUGAGGGCAGAGGGCAGAAAGCCAAUUAGACACACAAUGUAGCAGACGAGCCACCGCGCUGAAGUGUCUAUCGCGUUGCAGAACAAACUCUACGCGCUUUCAAAAUGGCGAGUACCUGGUGCUUUGUGCGUGCAAACUUUGGAAAACCUAUUAAAAUACCCGCCACUUCACAGACUUGCAAGAGGAAAUGAAUGGAAACUCUUUUCAAAAGCCACUACAGACUAAGAAUAUCCUAACUCACUUGCUCGGAAAUAGACUUGUAGUUAACAAAAAAAACAGAUCAUUAGAAUAUAUUUCGUUGUAAGGAGAAAGUUUAUGUAAUCACCUAUUUCCGAAAGAUUCUAUGGCGUUAUGUAUUAUUGUAUGUGUGUAUGGAACGCUCAAAUUAAACAACUCUUUGGGAACCUCUAUCGUUUCCGGAAGCCUCUUGAAACGAAUGUAAUAAAAAGCGCUGGAACAAAAGUGUUAAUUAACGAAACAAGAUCGAUAGUUUGGAACUUUACCAGCGGGAAACAACAGAUUCUGCGAUGUAUAAAUUGCAAGUCUAAUUAACACGAGCUCGGGUAGUUUUACGAGCAAAUUGGAGCUCGCAGUUCGAAAGCUAAUAAUGGUCAUCGGAUAUUUGGCAAAUUCGUUAAAGUCACAUUUUGACAUCUUGAACUGGAAACUUGCUUCAUUAAUUUGACAGGUGCAGUGGGUCUGAGCAGCGACCUUAAGUAUGUAGGUAUGUACUUCCUCCGUCUGAGGUUGUGGGUUCGGAAAACAUGUGAAUUAUCCAUUAAACUUAAAGCUUGAGCAUUAGUUAAGCACAUACUACACGAGGAAUAGUUUUCCACGUCUUUCAACUGUCGGAAACUUUCGCUUCAGCUUGGGAGUAGCAAAGAUUUUAAAAUUUUUAGAAAUGUAUUUAGUUUUAAUGUUUCAUUAAUAAAUUAAACGAAAUAGACAGAACCUAGAUUUAGUACGAUAUAGGACGCAAUAACACCUGGAUGUUAACGGCGUUUGUAAGAUAUGCAAGUUGACUCUACCCAAACCUCAGGCGGGCUUGUACGCGGCGUGAUACAACAAUGCGAAAUCGAACAAUAAGUCAAUGCCAUUUACGGUGCCAUUUAAGUAAAUAGACAUGGCGAAAGACCAGAUCCAGGCCGGAAUCAAUUUAGAAAAAAAAACAUACUUGACUCUAGCUAUAAAUCCAAGCCAGAUAUUUCUAAAUGUGCCAAAGAAGUUCCUACUUCUCGGCGCUAGUUUCGAAGCUCUUGGGUUAUUGGGGUCAUGACCCCAAUAAUCAUUUUAAUUCAUCCACCAUGAUGUUUGCAAAGCGACGUAGCUCAGACACAAUGAAAACAAAAGCUUCCCAGUUAAUAUCUAGACGUGGAAAAAUGGAAAACUAAUUUCCACUUGCACACAAUUAUUUAUGCAUUCUGUGCAUGCAUUGUGAAUAUAAUGGCAUUGUAUGCAUUGUUGUGCGACGCGCUAGAAACUUCGUGUUGGCUAAACUAACUUUCCAGCUGCUUAGGUAUUUCAUAAUGACUGACUUCUGGGAGAUACGCACAAUAAUAUAAAGUCACGUUUGCAUUCUAGUACCUAUUAGUUUCCACAUUUCUCUCUAAGAUGGAGGGAGGCUUGACCUAAUGAAAGUAUCAAAAAAAUUAAAAAUAAUGAAAGCCUCAAAUUAAAAAUAAUGAAGUGCGCUCCGGUUACGAAGCCAAGCUCAAGGAAGGAAUUGUCACCCGCUGGGAUAUUGUCGCGCCCAUAGAUCAUAGAAAAGGCCGGAAAAGAAGAAAUUUGAACAUGAUAUACAUUCAGCAAAUAUUAAUUCGAGUAAAAAGGAAUCAAAACUACUACUUCGGAAAACUUGUGCGAGUUAAAUUCGUAAAUUAUUUAUAAACUUUACGAGUAUUCCUAAGUGUAAACGUUUUGUAUUGUAGAGCAAGCAGAACAUAUACCUAUAUAUCUAGAUGAAAUCACCGUAAAAUAUAUUAUGAAGAUUUUUUUUAAUAGAUCGACUCCCUUCAAAAUUAAUUACAAGCUACCCUCCUGCGACACAAAGUGUCGACUGUACACGGGGGGCUCGAACGAACGGGGGCUAAGUGGUAGAAUGCAGGCACGCCGAUAACGCAGAACUGAGUAAAUGUUUGUUCUAAAUCGAAAUCUAAUGUCUUUAAAUUAAAAUUAGCUAUUGAAUCAUAGACUAAAAUAAAAUUACUAUUAAAGUAAAAUACAAGAAUAAAAAUUUUAAAAUUUUAUUCUUCUUCAGAAGAUUCAUUCAUUCUGCAAAUUGAAAUAUCAGUAGACUUCCGGCAUAACUUAUAUCUAAAAAAAAUAUUGCUUGGUUAGUGGCGUAACUAUUCAAAUAGUAAAUCAAAUUUCAUUUUCAUUUCAUUUAUUCGUCAUGUUAUAUGAGUACCUUUGGAUACGGUACAAAUAUUAUUUUAUUUUAAUUAGGAAAAUAAUUUGCAUGUUACCUAGAUUUAAAUUACGCCGUCGAUAGAUCACAAAGAAUACAGUUAUAAAAUAUGCCCUAUUCAAUUGCAAUAUGGACUAAAAUAGGUGGUAUUGAUAUACGUGCUCUGAAAGGCAGUGUCAAGUGUUGAUACGCGGGCGCGUCGAGUGCUGAGGUGAAAAGGUUGUGAGGAAAAGCGACGCUUUCAAUUAAUACUGUUUAUUUUUACUGUAUAAUUAAUUUUAUAGUGACACUAAUGUACUGUAAGGAUUGUUAAUUAAAAAUUUAUUUCUGUAAAAAGAUAAUUUAAAUACUUUGAAUACGAGUUACUGGAUUUGUGAAGAAAAUUGUCAUAUAGCGUUUUUUUAUCCACAUAAUACAUAUAAGUAAAAUACAUUGUUGUAGGUAUUUUUUAAGCGUUGAUAUGACCAUAAUUUAAGGGAAAUGAUUGAGCUUCAUGGGUUUGAGACAGUGAAAUUAAAAACAUUUCGUAAUUCUAAAGCAUUUAUAAUCGGGUGAAACGCAGUCAAUGGAUAUUUUUUUAAUAAAUAUUUAAAUUUUUACGUUGUUUUUAGUAAGACCCUGGGAGGAAUUUUCAACAGCCGUUACCAGUAAAAAAAAAAUUGAAAAUGACGCAGGAAACCGCAAAUCGCGUGUCCCUUCGGGCGGGCGCCAUGUGUACGCAGCACGGAGGUACUCGCUUAAGCAAGUAUUUGUAUUCCGCACGCAGACACAGCGCUAACCGAACGGACCGAUACAAGCCGAUUUAUUUCGCCUUUUAUUCGCCGAAUUGAGUUCGUUACAAAAAGUAUUGCGCCCUUAUCGCGAUUCGCGUGGGUGAUACAAUACGCGAUGGAUCUCUUAACAAAAUACUGGCCCUACGGGACCGGUACCACUUUAAUUUAUGACGUCACGGCGCUGACGUCACUCACCUGUCGCUGGAGACGAGCACGAGCUGCGUGUUGGCGUACUUGGUCCUGCGCUUGCGCACCGCCGACAGCGCCGCGCACAGGCUCGGCGAGAACGAGCGGCACGGCGGACACUGGGACAAACAAACAUACGGACGGAUCAAACGGAUGUCUGGAUGAGAUCGUUAUGAUGCGGACUCGGCGCCCUUCGAUACGAGUGCUGUAAAUACAAACAAUAACAAUUUGCGUGUAUUGGUGAGUCUACAGGAAAUCACAUCUUUUUGGAAGUUCGCUUUAAAAUCUUCGCUUAUUCAUGAUCAACUUCUCUUUUACCCAGCCGUCCAAGAGGACGGCUGAAGAAGAGUGAAGAUUAAGAGUGUUGGUCAGGAGUAGUUGUGCAGAUUUACCUAGCUAUACCAUCAGCUUUUUAGUGUCUUACUGUAGGGUCCGCCUUUUAAAGUAUAGGGAAUUUGGAGCACUCACCACGCACUCACUCACGUGUUCUCAUGUGGUAUUCUAAUAUUUUUUGACUCUGCAAUAGUCACUAUUAGAUGUUGAUGAUAAUAAUCGUUUGGCUUGACAGUUUCAAAAUAUUUCCGCCAUCGCGCUUAGGUAAACUUUCUUUUUAAUUAACUAUAUUCACUACCCAAAGUAUUUGUUCAUACCUUUCAACUUCUUACAAACAAAGUAGUCUGUCCCAGCGAUGUACCGGUGCUGUGUACUAGGUCUAUCAACCCUGAUGGAACUUGAGAUAUAAAAUAGCGUGGAGAAAAACAUGUUGUGCUCCAGAAUAGCCUCCCCCUUACCUUUUAACGAGAAGCUUGCUGACUCAUUCAGCCGUGAGGAUGCAAACAAGCUACAUCCUUUGGAACUAAAGAAUGAGUUUUCUUGCAUUAUUGUCCUCAUGGAAUAUAAUAGGCGUUACAAAAUGAAACUGAGUUGUUAUAAAUACGACAAAGUGCGAGUCAGAUAAUCACUGAGGUAAAUAAUGAGGGACAAACUUAACUAAAGAAAUAUUUCCGAAGUAAUUUUAGAAUUUGUCCUACGUCCUUUAAUUUUCAAAACCAAAAGUUGGCUAUAAAAUAGACUAAAAUGGUAUCUACUCAAAAUCUUGGCACGAGCAGGUGGGACCAUUUAUGCACUACAUUGGGACUAAAAUUAUAGAACAGAUUCGAUAAAAAGGUUCACAUGUGUGUCUCUUAAUAGAAAUUCUUCAUUUUAUGGAUCACUUAAAAAGAUCUUCGACGAUUAAUAGCUUCAGUCUGUUACACACAGAACCGUACGCGAGGCUGAAAUCAUUAACGUCUUCAGCGGAGUCCAUUAAUGCAGUAAUCGAGGAUACGAGGGGGUUAUACAUUGUUGUAGGGACAGCGGUGCAGAGGGCGGGCAGGAGAGCGGAACGGGGACAAAGGGAGACUUUCCGCACCAAUCGCCACUUGCCCGAUACUCCUAAUCUUGAUUGUACGAUGUACUUGAUACUGCGACUUAAUGCUGGGGCUCCACGAUUUCACUCGGAUAUGGAAGGGUCAUGAUUACAACAUUAUGUCUGUAUUUGUGUUUACAAAAUGCAUUAAAAUGAUAUGGACAACGUAACGGCGAUAUUCCGAGAGUUUACCAAGCAUUGUUUCUUCUAAUGGAAUGCAUCUUUGUAUAACAUAAACAUUUUGUUGUUUGGACAAGCAAAUUUGUUAUCCAAAGAAGAUUAAUAAUAAAAAAAAAGAAUAAAAUGUUCCAUUGUUUGCCUCGCUAAUUACAGUUCAGGCCUGUAGCGUUUAACUAUUGUUAUCAGCAGAUCGAGGUAUUACAUGCAGCAUCAAACAGUUGGCCAAAAUAAAUGACCAAACUCUUUGGAUUUUCCCGUUUAGUUUUCAUGGUCUUAUCACCUUUCAACUCUAUUAUCAGACGUGUGCUAUGGUGCGGUUGUAUUAAUAAUGAAGAUAAGAUACGAAAGUAGGUAUACAAUAUUUCUAAGCAAAUGAAAAUCAAAUCGAAAAUCAAGAAGCUUCAAAGGUUUGACCACAACAUAACAGAACAAUUUAAAAGCUCCUAAAAAUAUGCUCUGAACUGAGAACUUGAAUUUUGUAAGUCGAUCAAAAGCAACUGUCUACAACUCUACAGUCAGUAGCUGACAGCAAAUAAACAGCUAAGCGCUGACGAAGAGUUGCGACGACGCAGCGGCUUGUUGUUCAUAAUUAGCGUAUAAAUAACAUGAGGGUGCGGCGCAGGAAGCUUCCGCGCUAUUUCUGUUUGGACAUGUUUAGAACGGUUCAAACGGUAGAUGUCCAACAGUUAAACUGACCUAGUACAACUAUUCACUGGGUUUAUUGUUUUCUUCUUUUAUUGCACUAGUACACUUUGUCGGAGAAAUCUUGAAAACCAUUUUAAUUGAAAGGCCAUUGAUUUAGUUUUCUUGUAGAAACUUUAAUGCUGGACAUUUAAGCUUCUACAAAUUACCGUUUUAUCUGUGAUUUUUUUUAGGAGAAUAAAUACAUGUAAAACUAAUUUUAUAAAUUAUAUUGCAUUUGUCUGUAUAAUAGACGAGUUUAUUGUACAUCUAAAGAAAUUCGUUUCGAAUAAUUGUGCUUAAUACAGUGAAUUCAGUAAGCCAUAUUUUUACUCGUACAUGGCUUGAAUACAGUUCAUAUAAUCGUAAAUAAAAAUAUUCUCUGUUGUCAUCUCAAGUUCUUAGGAACUUCCACUGUAGGUUCGAUGAAGUUCUUUGUGGUUUACAUAUCAGUCUUGCGUUACUUAUUUCGAUGUCAUUUAAUGGCAGAGUGAUGCUAACGUUGUAAUUUACAAAAGGCUACUCGGUUUUAUUAGAAAAUUCUCGG
Molecule: long non-coding RNA, 6237 nt
Organism: Bicyclus anynana (squinting bush brown)
Lineage: Eukaryota; Metazoa; Arthropoda; Insecta; Lepidoptera; Nymphalidae
Exons: 3
Source: RefSeq, a predicted model, not a curated record